GUUUCUUUAUUAUAAUUUUAGUAAGAUUAACUUCCAAUUAAUUAGUCCUAUAUUAGUAGGAAGAAAUG
Molecule: transfer RNA, 68 nt
Filed under: Coloceras sp. SLC-2005
Lineage: Eukaryota; Metazoa; Arthropoda; Insecta; Psocodea; Philopteridae
Also listed under: 1 other name
Description: tRNA-Gly
Source: RNAcentral